CGUACUAUAGAUUAUAUGGAGAAGAGUAGUGUUUGGGCUACAAAUUUGCCUUUUUCGUUCAAGUCUUUCAAUGAUCGUGAAAGUUUUUGACAGAAGAUGAAAGAAAUAAGGUGAGACAUUGCAAUUUAUUAGGUAAAAGCAAUCUAAAGACGUUCUAUUAGCAAAUACUGACCGUUUUUAAAAGUUGUAUAUUUGUAUAUUGAAUAAAAAUGUUUGGUAUAUUCUUGGGUAAAUUGGCACGGUACUCCUAUUUUAUCAGAUACUUAUGUUAGUUCAAAUCUUCAUAACAAUGUGCUUACAGUAAAAGCAUUGUUUCAUCCCAAUUUUCCGUAUUUAGCACAGUUGAGUAUUGUAUAGUGUCUGUUUCCAUAUCGGACAUAUUUUCACGUUAUUUUACCUGAUCUAGCUGGAUGUAUUUUCAUGUAUAUUUAUACAAAUACACAACUAUUACAAACACACAACUAAAAGAUUCCUUUUGUGUUUGAAACACAAAAGGAAUCUUUUAGUUGUGUGUUUGUAAUACUUUCUUUCACAAAUAACAUGUGUUGUCUUCUGUAAAAUAAGUAGUUUUUUGAAGUUUGAAAUUUUGUAUAAAACAAACUGAUAGACUAUAGUAUAGUAUACAAAUGUGCUGCAGGUGAUUCAGAAACAUUGCUAACUGUUUUUUAUUCAAUCAGGUAUCACCAUACUUUUUGUUGUUAUGUACUCUGGUGAAUGCAAACUAAAAAGUUUGCCUGACCAUGGUCAGGCAUGGUGGGAAUCGAACCCAUGACCUUUGGGUUAUCACUCCAAUGCUCUACCAACUGAGCUAUGAGGUCACCUAAGUAUAUAACACUAACACACACAAAAAGUAUCAUGUCUUAGAAUACAUUGAUAUCGAAGGAACCACACUCAGUUCCAAAAUAUCACCAACUCGAACUGACUUAACCUAGUAGUUCAGUUGGUUGAGCAUUGGACUGGUAUCCCAUUAAGGUCACCGGUUUGAUUCCCACCAUAGUCAGGCAAACUUUUUAGUUUGUCCCUGUGUGGAUGCACACGCAGAGUAACACCACAAACAUCAAGUUAUGACCAUGUUUACACUUUAUCCAUGCCUGACAAUCACUGACACAGGCAACACAUCAAUUUGCCCGAGUGUAUGGAAUGUGCAAUUCCUCUGCACACUGGACGGCAGUGAAUCUAGGCUCUAGGAAUAGACAAUCCCCAUUAUACAUUAAUUUUAAAACUAGGCAAGGAAACUCAAAUAAAUCAGCACAGCUAGAAAGAGCAUACUAAAAUUAGUAAAAUUACAAAGUUUGGUUGCAAAAUGUUGUAAAAAGAGGAAAAUAUAGCCUUGUAAAAUUCGCAAAUUUUGUAUACUUUUGUAUUGCUUGCGGAAAUUCCUACCACAUUUAGGCCGAACAUGUCGCACACAAUACAAAAGUAUACAAAAUUUGCAAACUUUGCAAGGCUAUAUUUUCCACAUUUUACAACAUUGUGCAAUCAAACUUUGUAAAUUUACUAAUUUUAGUAUGCUCUUUCUAGCUGUGGUGAUUUAUUUGCAUCUCCUUGCCUAGUUUUAAAAUUAGUCUAUAAUGGGAAUUGUCUAUUGUGUAUCGUUUUUGUGCCAAAAGAUUCGACAGUAAAAUAUAAGCUGUUGUGCACGCAAUAAUCACUGAUUUGUGCACAAAACUGGACAGCCUUUUCUUUCCAUGCUGGGCAAUUUGGGCCUCUAGCAUGACUAGGCCAAGCUGGCAAUGUGGCCCUUCUAUAACACAGUAUUGUCCAUGUCAUAAUUUUUGUUUCAUUUAGUUUAAUUUCUGCCUUCUGGACGUGCUCAAGCCUUGGCAACAAGUACUCAAGUUUCACUCUGUUGAAGACCAAUUUGUCAUUGAUUGGAUCAUAUUGUGUUGUCUUUGUAAUAUAAUAUAUGUAUGCCAG
Molecule: long non-coding RNA, 1917 nt
Filed under: Paramuricea clavata
Lineage: Eukaryota; Metazoa; Cnidaria; Anthozoa; Malacalcyonacea; Plexauridae
Source: RNAcentral